RNAcentral lists this ribosomal RNA (870 nucleotides) under Staphylococcus pasteuri. RNAcentral describes it as "bacterial SSU rRNA". It matches the Rfam family "Bacterial small subunit ribosomal RNA", at positions 74 to 931 of the family's 1533-position model. The record is from RNAcentral. Lineage: Bacteria; Bacillati; Bacillota; Bacilli; Caryophanales; Staphylococcaceae.
AGGAGCUUGCUCCUUUGACGUUGCGGCGGACGGGUGAGUAACACGUGGAUAACCUACCUAUAAGACUGGGAUAACUUCGGGAAACCGGAGCUAAUACCGGAUAACAUAUUGAACCGCAUGGUUCAAUAGUGAAAGGCGGCUUUGCUGUCACUUAUAGAUGGAUCCGCGCCGUAUUAGCUAGUUGGUAAGGUAACGGCUUACCAAGGCAACGAUACGUAGCCGACCUGAGAGGGUGAUCGGCCACACUGGAACUGAGACACGGUCCAGACUCCUACGGGAGGCAGCAGUAGGGAAUCUUCCGCAAUGGGCGAAAGCCUGACGGAGCAACGCCGCGUGAGUGAUGAAGGUCUUCGGAUCGUAAAACUCUGUUAUCAGGGAAGAACAAAUGUGUAAGUAACUGUGCACAUCUUGACGGUACCUGAUCAGAAAGCCACGGCUAACUACGUGCCAGCAGCCGCGGUAAUACGUAGGUGGCAAGCGUUAUCCGGAAUUAUUGGGCGUAAAGCGCGCGUAGGCGGUUUUUUAAGUCUGAUGUGAAAGCCCACGGCUCAACCGUGGAGGGUCAUUGGAAACUGGAAAACUUGAGUGCAGAAGAGGAAAGUGGAAUUCCAUGUGUAGCGGUGAAAUGCGCAGAGAUAUGGAGGAACACCAGUGGCGAAGGCGACUUUCUGGUCUGUAACUGACGCUGAUGUGCGAAAGCGUGGGGAUCAAACAGGAUUAGAUACCCUGGUAGUCCACGCCGUAAACGAUGAGUGCUAAGUGUUAGGGGGUUUCCGCCCCUUAGUGCUGCAGCUAACGCAUUAAGCACUCCGCCUGGGGAGUACGACCGCAAGGUUGAAACUCAAGGAAUUGACGGGACCCGCACAAGCG